GCAACUCGCCUGCGUGAAGUUGGAAUUGCUAGUAAUCGCGGAUCAGCAUGCCGCGGUGAAUACGUUCCCGGGCCUUGUACACACCGCCCGUCACACCAUGGGAGUUUGUAACACCCGAAGUCAGUAUCCUAACCGCGAAGGGGGGAGCUGCCGAAGGUGGGAUAAGCGACUGGGGUGAAGUCGUAACAAGGUAUC
This 195-nucleotide ribosomal RNA is filed under the name uncultured bacterium. Its description in RNAcentral is "partial 16S ribosomal RNA". It matches the Rfam family "Bacterial small subunit ribosomal RNA", at positions 1307 to 1500 of the family's 1533-position model. The record is from RNAcentral.